CUUCUCCUCGAUGUAGACCACCAUGUUGACAUCCAGCCUCAGGACCUGGGACAUGUAUAUCAGAUGAUGACAGCACCGUUGUUUCUAUGAGCAAGAUCGUGCAUCAAUGAAUGGGUACGAGGCCAGAACGGCCACCGUAUGAAAAUGGCAGGGUGUGUUUAAAAAACCGGCCAGGGCUAGGGAACGCUGCCAUACGAGAAAUGUAAUAAUCAAAUUUAUUAUCCAAAAUACUGUUAUAUUGAUUGUGAAUGAGUGAGUAAAAUGUCGCUUUGAACAA
This is a long non-coding RNA of Haliotis rufescens (red abalone), 277 nucleotides long. RefSeq lists it as uncharacterized. The record is from RefSeq and is a predicted model, not a curated record. The transcript is spliced from 2 exons. NCBI's taxonomy places the organism in Eukaryota, Metazoa, Mollusca, Gastropoda, Lepetellida, Haliotidae.